RNAcentral lists this transfer RNA (70 nucleotides) under Diplostomum spathaceum. RNAcentral describes it as "tRNA-Cys". Lineage: Eukaryota; Metazoa; Platyhelminthes; Trematoda; Diplostomida; Diplostomidae. The record is from RNAcentral.
GGGUGUGUACUGUUAAUGAAACAGGGUUACUUUGCAGAGGUAAUUUUAAGGUUUGAUUCCUUCACGCUCU